CCUGCACCGGCUCCAGGGGAGUAGCCUCCUUACCUUUGCCAUUUCUGGCCCGGUAAGAGCAGUUAUCAACAUACUUGAGCCUCAAUGCUCAUGGUGACUGCGACCUUCGUCUUUCAGAGGGUU
RNAcentral lists this small RNA (123 nucleotides) under Endozoicomonas sp. RNAcentral describes it as "Manganese sequence". The stretch from base 15 to 123 matches the Rfam family "Manganese Mn2+ riboswitch aptamer (yybP-ykoY)". Rfam says of the family: This RNA was originally discovered in E. coli during a large scale screen and was named SraF. The family was later found to exist upstream of related families of protein genes in many bacteria, including the the yybP and ykoK genes in B. subtilis. The specific functions of these proteins are unknown, but this structured RNA element may be involved in their genetic regulation as a riboswitch. The record is from RNAcentral. Lineage: Bacteria; Pseudomonadati; Pseudomonadota; Gammaproteobacteria; Oceanospirillales; Endozoicomonadaceae.